AGAGUAAAAUAGUACGUGAAAUUGUUGAAAGGGAAACGAUUGAAGUCAGUCGUACCGACGAGAAAUCAACUUAUCGUGUGCGAACUUGUGGGCGUGCGUGAGUUUCGGCCUCGCUGUUUGCAUGUUUGUGCGUUUUGGGUGUACUUUUUCGUAUGGUAGGCCAACGUCAGUUUCGAUUAUCAUAAAAUGACCGGCGGAAUGUAGCUUCGAUUUCGGUUGAAGUGUUAUAGCCUCUGGUAGAUGUGGUGAUUGAGACUGAGGAUUGCAACGAAUACCCUUUGGGCUAUCCGUCUGGCCUCUGAAAGUUGCUCAGGUGCCGAAAGCGUGCUUACGGUCAUCUAAGAUAACGUUCAACAGGUUAGAACGUGAUUACAUUCGUUAAGGAUGUUGGCGUAAUGGCUUUAAACGACC
RNAcentral lists this non-coding RNA (411 nucleotides) under uncultured fungus. RNAcentral also lists the same sequence under 1 other name. The record is from RNAcentral. Lineage: Eukaryota; Fungi.